This 305-nucleotide ribosomal RNA is filed under the name uncultured bacterium. RNAcentral describes it as "bacterial SSU rRNA". It matches the Rfam family "Bacterial small subunit ribosomal RNA", at positions 334 to 657 of the family's 1533-position model. The record is from RNAcentral.
CACACCUACGGACGCAGCAGUGGGGAAUAUUGCACAAUGGGGGAAACCCUGAUGCAGCGACGCCGUGUGAGUGAAGAAGUAAUUCGUUACGUAAAGCUCUAUCAGCAGGGAAGAAAAUGACGGUACCUGGGUAAGAAGCCCCGGCUAACUACGUGCCAGCAGCCGCGGUAAUACGUAGGGGGCAAGCGUUAUCCGGAUUUACUGGGCGUAAAGGGAGCGUAGACGGCGCGGCAAGUCUGAAGUGAAAGGCAGGGGCUUAACCCCUGAACUGCUUUGGAAACUGCCAUGCUAGAGUGCUGGAGAGG